Molecule: ribosomal RNA, 489 nt
Filed under: uncultured bacterium
Lineage: Bacteria
Description: bacterial SSU rRNA
Rfam family: Bacterial small subunit ribosomal RNA
Source: RNAcentral
AUGAACGCUGGCGGCGUGCCUAAUACAUGCAAGUCGAACGGGAGACCUCAUUUCGAUGGGGUUGAGAGUGGCGAACGGGUGAGUAACACGUAGGAAUCUACCCUUAAGACGGGGGACAACCCAGGGAAACUUGGGCUAAUACCGGAUGAGAGUGCGAGAGAUUGCAUUUAAAAGGAUGGCGAAAGUUGUCGCUUAGGGAUGAGCCUGCGGUCUAUUAGUUAGUUGGUGAGGUAAGAGCUCACCAAGGCGAUGAUAGAUAGGCGGCCUUAACGGGUGGUCGCCCACACUGGGAUUGAGAUACGGCCCAGACUCCUACGGGAGGCAGCAGUGAGGAAUAUUGCGCAAUGGGGGCAACCCUGACGCAGCAACGCCGCGUGAGUGAGGAAGGUUUUCGGAUUGUAAAGCUCUGUCGAGCGGAAAGAAAUGCACGAUGGCUAAUAUCCAUCAUGCUUGACGGUACCGCUAGAGGAAGCACCGGCUAACUCCGUG